UUCAUUACUCCACCUUUUUUUAUAUUAUGAAACAAACGAACUAAGGAAACACGGCAAAGAGGCAAAGAGGCAGAAUCUAUAGAGCAAAAUCUGUAGAGCAGCUAGGGUUAGAGACAAAGAGGCAGAAGUCCAACAAUUCUGAAAUUGGUGAAGAAAAUUUGAUUUUGGCGGGACAAAGAGACGGGAGCAAAAUAAUGAAGCAAGUUUAUCUUUCAAGCCAUCCUUACAUACCAUCUACUCCACAAAAAUUCUGCGUUUUCAUCUUCUAUAAUCAGAGUUUAGUGGGUCAUUUGCUGAAGAAGAUAUUGCAAGACAAGGCAUAACUGCACCAUCAAUUGCAGGAAAUGUAACUGCAAGCAGAGGACUGGAGGUUGCAGUUGCUAAUCUUCAGGAAUACUGCAAUGGUGGGAGAUAUAGUUGUUUUAAAAAGUAUCAUUAGGCCAACAAAAACAGUUGCAAACGGAAUACUUAAAAGCACAGACGCAUCUAAAGAAGUAAAAGGGAAACACUUAGGACCUGACUAUUGGGAGGUACAUGUUCAAGUGCCAAUCAAACC
Molecule: non-coding RNA, 556 nt
Organism: Camellia sinensis
Lineage: Eukaryota; Viridiplantae; Streptophyta; Magnoliopsida; Ericales; Theaceae
Source: RefSeq, a predicted model, not a curated record